CUGACAGUUUGGCUUCCCUGUUCCAGGUGGCAAAGCCUGUGGGGUAUUCACCUACCUGCUGCAUGAAGGCAGCAUGGAGGGACUGUGGUGGAUUAUCUGCAAAGAUGGCCCAAAUUCUCUCAUCCCUGCAGGUACAUACAAGAGGAGAACUGAAGCUCAGCUAUUCACCCUACAGAAAGCCUGAAUUUUGUAAAUGUUCUGCUUAGAAUGAGGAAGAAAGAUGAAGAAUGAGGAGGAAGAAGGGAGGAACAAGAGAGAGAGGUGAGCAGUAAAUGUGUUUGCUAUUUCCCCAAAAGGAAAUUGAGGUGUACGGAAUGCUUAUUUGGUUGACUCAGUAUCAUCCUAAAUGUAUGAACUAAUGUUUAGGAGUUUGCAGUUCACCCGCAAACCUCAGCGAUCCAAGCUCCCCUGGAUGACCAUCACUCACCUAGAAAAGAACAAUAACAGGACCUGUUUUGCUAAUCCAGGACUGUUCUCCAGCACUAACUCUAAAUAAUCCCUUCUGUUAGAGUCCACUUUCUGGAACCUGUUGCCUCCGUUUUCAACGUUUCCCAAACUUGGUCCGUUGUGUGAGUUGGCUGUUAAAAGUUCCAGGGAGAGGACAUCUUAUUCUUAUUGGAUCACGCACAGUGCCUGAAGCAUUCUGUUGCAUGUAGAAAUCAGUAAAUUGCAGAUGUAAGAUUCAAAACGAGACUUCACAUCUACCGACUUCAGUGAUCCUGAAAUUUGUCCACAGAGAGCAUUUAACAUAACUGUCUUCAUCAUCUCCUUCUCUAAUUAAAAACUAUGGUUCACAAAGACAUUAUUGGUGAUUCAAUCUUGAGUCAUGAAAAGCCAACCUUG
RNAcentral lists this long non-coding RNA (843 nucleotides) under Pongo abelii (Sumatran orangutan). RNAcentral's name for it is "lincRNA". Lineage: Eukaryota; Metazoa; Chordata; Mammalia; Primates; Hominidae. The record is from RNAcentral.